AGAGUUUAAUCAUGGCUCAGGAUGAACGCUAGCGGCAGGCCUAACACAUGCAAGUCGAGGGGCAUCACGGUGUAGCAAUACACUGGUGGCGACCGGCGCACGGGUGCGUAACGCGUAUUCAACCUACCCAUAACAGGGGGAUAACACUGAGAAAUUGGUACUAAUACCCCAUAACAUCAGGACCGGCAUCGGUUCUGGUUGAAAACUCCGGUGGUUAUGGAUGGGCAUGCGUUGUAUUAGCUGGUUGGUG
RNAcentral lists this ribosomal RNA (250 nucleotides) under uncultured bacterium. RNAcentral describes it as "partial 16S ribosomal RNA". It matches the Rfam family "Bacterial small subunit ribosomal RNA", at positions 8 to 254 of the family's 1533-position model. The record is from RNAcentral.